This 1372-nucleotide ribosomal RNA is filed under the name uncultured bacterium. RNAcentral describes it as "bacterial SSU rRNA". It matches the Rfam family "Bacterial small subunit ribosomal RNA", at positions 28 to 1381 of the family's 1533-position model. The record is from RNAcentral.
GAUGAACGCUGGCGGCGUGCCUAAUACAUGCAAGUCGAGCGAACGGACGAGAAGCUUGCUUCUCUGAUGUUAGCGGCGGACGGGUGAGUAACACGUGGAUAACCUACCUAUAAGACUGGGAUAACUUCGGGAAACCGGAGCUAAUACCGGAUAAUAUUUUGAACCGCAUGGUUCAAAAGUGAAAGACGGUCUUGCUGUCACUUAUAGAUGGAUCCGCGCUGCAUUAGCUAGUUGGUAAGGUAACGGCUUACCAAGGCAACGAUGCAUAGCCGACCUGAGAGGGUGAUCGGCCACACUGGAACUGAGACACGGUCCAGACUCCUACGGGAGGCAGCAGUAGGGAAUCUUCCGCAAUGGGCGAAAGCCUGACGGAGCAACGCCGCGUGAGUGAUGAAGGUCUUCGGAUCGUAAAACUCUGUUAUUAGGGAAGAACAUAUGUGUAAGUAACUGUGCACAUCUUGACGGUACCUAAUCAGAAAGCCACGGCUAACUACGUGCCAGCAGCCGCGGUAAUACGUAGGUGGCAAGCGUUAUCCGGAAUUAUUGGGCGUAAAGCGCGCGUAGGCGGUUUUUUAAGUCUGAUGUGAAAGCCCACGGCUCAACUGUGGAGGGUCAUUGGAAACUGGAAAACUUGAGUGCAGAAGAGGAAAGUGGAAUUCCAUGUGUAGCGGUGAAAUGCGCAGAGAUAUGGAGGAACACCAGUGGCGAAGGCGACUUUCUGGUCUGUAACUGACGCUGAUGUGCGAAAGCGUGGGGAUCAAACAGGAUUAGAUACCCUGGUAGUCCACGCCGUAAACGAUGAGUGCUAAGUGUUAGGGGGUUUCCGCCCCUUAGCGCUGCAGCUAACGCAUUAAGCACUCCGCCUGGGGAGUACGACCGCAAGGUUGAAACUCAAAGGAAUUGACGGGGACCCGCACAAGCGGUGGAGCAUGUGGUUUAAUUCGAAGCAACGCGAAGAACCUUACCAAAUCUUGACAUCCUUUGACAACUCUAGAGAUAGAGCUUUCCCCUUCGGGGGACAAAGUGACAGGUGGUGCAUGGUUGUCGUCAGCUCGUGUCGUGAGAUGUUGGGUUAAGUCCCGCAACGAGCGCAACCCUUAAGCUUAGUUGCCAUCAUUAAGUUGGGCACUCUAAGUUGACUGCCGGUGACAAACCGGAGGAAGGUGGGGAUGACGUCAAAUCAUCAUGCCCCUUAUGAUUUGGGCUACACACGUGCUACAAUGGACAAUACAAAGGGCAGCGAAACCGCGAGGUCAAGCAAAUCCCAUAAAGUUGUUCUCAGUUCGGAUUGUAGUCUGCAACUCGACUACAUGAAGCUGGAAUCGCUAGUAAUCGUAGAUCAGCAUGCUACGGUGAAUACGUUCCCGGGUCU